ACAUCAUCAAGAGCAGCAGAGGGACUGGCCCUGUGAAGCUGCGGCAACCUUCCGGAGGGAAAGGUGCCAAUUCCAGCAGAGUAUAUCUGACAGAUGAAUG
Molecule: non-coding RNA, 100 nt
Filed under: Megasphaera cerevisiae
Lineage: Bacteria; Bacillati; Bacillota; Negativicutes; Veillonellales; Veillonellaceae
Also listed under: 1 other name
Description: SAM-I sequence
Rfam family: SAM riboswitch aptamer (S box leader)
About the family: The SAM riboswitch is found upstream of a number of genes which code for proteins involved in methionine or cysteine biosynthesis in Gram-positive bacteria. The SAM riboswitch acts at the level of transcription termination control.
Source: RNAcentral